UAUUCUAAACAUUUGCUAACUUUUCUGCAUUGCUAAUAUAUUUACUCAAUUUUUUUAAAUUAGUUUACUGUUCUGACCUCCCAAUCAUCAUCUGCAAGCCAAAGAAGAUUUUUUCUCCUUAUUACUUUCCAGUUAUCUUGUUUGCCCUUCCAAUCAACUGCAAUCCGCUGAUUAGGACUCCUCAUUAUUUGGUUUUGCGGAAAAGAAACUUGAUCCACAAUGAAUCCACAACAAAGAAUAUGAAAACCAUCUUGAUCCUACAUAACAUAAUCUGAUGCGGACACAUGGAUGACUCUGUAUCCCUCUGUCUUCAGUUCCUUCACCCUGGCUCGCAAGACCGUUUGUGACAUAUCUAAAAAUGAAGUAAAACAGGCAACUUUGUCUACAUGUGUGUUUCCAGAGCUCUGGUCCUCUACAUAAAACAAAGAUAUUUGUAUGCUACAUGCCAGCAUUUUGCUUAUACUCCACUCUU
Molecule: long non-coding RNA, 472 nt
Organism: Pseudophryne corroboree (corroboree frog)
Lineage: Eukaryota; Metazoa; Chordata; Amphibia; Anura; Myobatrachidae
Exons: 5
Source: RefSeq, a predicted model, not a curated record